This 29-nucleotide small RNA is filed under the name Bombyx mori (domestic silkworm). Its description in RNAcentral is "ovarian small RNA-32648". Lineage: Eukaryota; Metazoa; Arthropoda; Insecta; Lepidoptera; Bombycidae. The record is from RNAcentral.
UGAUCGAAGGAUUUCGUUUUCGCAUCCAU